Long non-coding RNA from Syngnathoides biaculeatus (alligator pipefish), 4475 nucleotides. RefSeq lists it as uncharacterized. NCBI's taxonomy places the organism in Eukaryota, Metazoa, Chordata, Actinopteri, Syngnathiformes, Syngnathidae. The record is from RefSeq and is a predicted model, not a curated record. The transcript has 2 exons.
GAAUAGUAGGGGAAUGCUGUAAGUCCUCUGUAUUGUUGCACUUCUGAUCUGCAACAGCCAUUGUCUGUCCCUCAUUUGUGACCAGAAUAUUCUGUGGACAGGUCCUUUUCAAGUUACUGAGCGGACAGCCACAGCAGUACAUCUUGAAGGGGGACACAUGGUUCCACAUCUCGUCUACACGACCCGCCAGGUCCGCCUCAGGCUCAGUAAUCCCUCCACCUGACGACAACCGGAAAACCGCGUCUCCAGUGCCGGCUGGCACCCUUCGAUGACAUCAUUCUACAAGGGUUGAUUUCACGGUACACGGGCACCAUAAUCCCGGUGAAUCAACCUGGGACCAAGUAGUCUAACCCCAAGGUCCAGAAGGAGCCGACUGCGCCCCAGCUCGACUCAUCCCAGAGGAAAAGGUCCCCUCUCCGUGAUGUUCAACAUGAGUCCCUCUUCGACAUAGACAUUGGCAGGGAUGGCCAUCGUCUGGGUCGUAGCCAUCCUGGUGCGGUCAGGGGUCAUUGCAGAAGCAACCUCAGGAUGUCCCCAAUUGAUUACUGCCGCCAUUGAGAAAAAGGAUAUUUAUGUUCCUCCACCCUAUAUGAUGGCUGAAUUGCUUCCUCCUCCAUGCUUGUCCGUUGUACCACACGCUCCAAACGAUGACGCGGCUGGAAUUUUCCUUUAAUUCUGUUUAUUUCGGCGUCCGAAAGAGGGAUUGAAGUGUAUUAUCGAUGUGUAUCUUUUUAUUGAUGUGUAUCUUUUGCUCACACAUGCCAAAUCAUCAGUUAACCUUACUGGAGAGACCAGGGCAUAGGAAUGUGCCAGUUAUUACCAGCUUAGUCAUUAUGAUGAAGAUAGUUUGUGAUGCUCUUAUUUUAUGAUGCAGUUUUCUUUGUGGUGUUCUUUAUUUGUGAUGACGCUGUUUAUUUUCCUUUUAUACGUUUGUGAUGUGGACCCUGAUGAAUAGUAGGGGAAUGUUGUAAGUCCUCUGUAUCUUUGCACUUCUGAUCUGCUACAGCCAUUGUCUGUCACUCAUUUGUGCCCAGAAUAUUCUGUAAGUAAAAGCUUCGAAAAAACUGUUCAUCUCCAGCCUGUAUUUGGAUAACCAACAUUCUCACUACCCGAAAUUAAACGAACACGCGGGGAGGAAAAAAGCGUCCUCCAACACCAGUCACCAGUUUUCCACUUGCAUGUAGCUUCAUAAAUUCAAUUUAAACUCAAAAUAGCAACAAUUAUGCUGUAACAACUGGAACACGUGUUGUAAAUAAAUUGUUACUCUACAUUGUGAAUUCACAUUUGAACGAUGAUUUACCAAAAUAACCAGUUACCAUUUUAAAAAUAUGAGGUGUGCAGCAUGGAAUUUCAUCAUCUCCAGCCUGUAUUUGGAUAACCAACAUUCUCACUACCUGAAAUUAAACGAACACGCGGGGAGGAAAAAAGCGUCCUCCAACACCAGUCACCAGUUUUCCACUUGCAUGUAGCUUCAUAAAUUCAAUUUAAACUCAAAAUAGCAACAAUUAUGCUGUAACAACUGGAACACUUGUUGUAUAUAAAUUGUUACUCUACAUUGUGAAUUCACAUUUGAACAAUGAUUUACCAAAAUAACCAGUUACCAUUUUAAAAAUAUGAGGUGUGCAGCAUGGAAUGCAUGGUGCCUGACUUGCAGGGGUGGCCAACCCAUGGCACUUUAGCUCCUUUCAUGCGACUCUCAUGAAUGCACGAAAGCAUAUCAAAGUUCUCUUUAUGUGGCUGCACACGCACGUGGGCUUUGCUUGAGUUCCUUUCGGUAGUGGCGAGCGAGCGUUGCUUGCAUUUAUUCCGGUAUUUGCGUGCGCGCUUUGCUUGAGUUUAUUCCGGUUGUUAUAGGUAUUGUGACAACAAGGUCGGUGUGCGUUGAUGGAUAAGUGAAACAGGACUGCGCAGCAUACUGUAUGCAGCGGGAGGGUGAGAAGGGAAAAAAGGGACGAUGCCAACCAGGGGAGAGUGCCUUUACUGUUCUCCUCACCCAGCUCAACUGUGCAACGACAGAAGGAAGCGUUAAAACCAGAGUAGGAGGACCUCAGCAUGGAGAAGACGUCUCCCAACCACAGUCACGUGACCGCAGCAGGAAAGCUUUCUGCAAACCUGCCUUUCACAUUGAAUGUAAAUAGCUUGAAGUUUCCCAGUCAGAUGACGAUGUUUAUAGAAUUUAAUUUGCCAAUUUCACUCUGAAAAUGCUAGGGAGAAGAAGGAGUAAAACAAAAAUAUGUGGAUGAACAAAGGACGUUUUUACCAGUCAGGGAAGCUCAUAUUGUUGAGCGCAACGGCCAGCCACUCUUUGCCUUUUGUGUUAGACGUCUAUAGCAUUUCACAGCUUCAAAUCUUCACUCCAGCUCAUUCCAAGGUAACAUAGACCAGGAAUUUCCAAAAGGAACUAAACUUCCCAGUCACAACUUAAUCACUUUGAAAAAUCACACUGAAAAGCAGAUGGCUUUUUUUUUUAAAUGAAGCCUCCAGAGACGAAUGCUUGCAUCAUAUCAACUGGCUUGUGAUAUUUACAAUAAAGCUGGCUGUGUGAAGGCAUGUGUGCGAGGAGGGAAUGAUAUUCAUGUGUAUGAUAUAGCUCUUUGAUGUCUAUGACCUAUCUCUUUGCCAAGAAACAGUAAAAAAUGUUGCUCUUCAUCUCUGACUUGUUGGCCACCCCUAACUGGUAGAACACCAGCCUCAGUUCUGAGGACCAGGGUUCAAAUGCCAGGACAGCCUGGUUGGGUUUUGUCAGGGCGCUCCUCCCACAUCCCACAAAAAAAUUGGAGACACUAAAUUGCCCUGUUAUCGUGAGUGUGAAUGUUUGGUUGUUUGUAUCUGCGAUUGGCUGGCAACCAAUUCAGGGUGUACCCCGUCCGGUGAUAGCUCGGAUAGGCGCCGGCACUCCCGAAACCUUUGUAAGGACAAGCAGCUCAGAAAAUGGAUAGAUCAUGUAAGGUCAUGAAAGCAUUUUUAUAGUAUGACUAUACCAAUCAAUUGUCAUUUACAUUUUCAGCAGUCAAUGUGUAAAACGGUGUACUAACAUUGACAAGGGUUUUCUUUUGGCAAGUAGAAUUCUGAUAUAAGAAAAAUAAAACAAUAAUAGUGUCACAAAUUAAAUCCUUUGUUGACAUUGACAGAUUUGCACCUCAAAUCAGGUAGUGGGCAUGUAAUACUAUUUAUCCAGUUGCUUGCUGUACAACUGGAAAUGGAAUAAAGCUCGUGCACGUGACGUCACAGUUUGUAUGGCGUCAUAUUGUUGGUCAAACCUAGCUGCUUGGCAGUGCGUGAGUCGUUGAACUGGAGCAGAUUUUUCAAACUGCCCACGAUCUGUUGUGCUGUUGGUUGUCACAAUAAAUGAGAGGUUAACGUGUGGCCGCAAUCGCUUCCGUGUACAUUCCGUGGAGACAACUCCGUCCUCUUUUUUUUCCCACUAAUAGUUAAUGAAUGCGAGUUUGUGUAAAACCAGGGGUCAUUUAUUUAAAUAUUGGUAUUUGUAUUGAAUACUACCUUAAAAGAUUGAUGGAUUCCGGCAAAGGUUAACGUGUGGCCGAAUGCGCUUCCACGUUCACGAGCCGUCAACCCGUCGUCUUUUUUUAUUCAAUCAUAGUUAAUGAAUGCGAGUUUGUGUAAAAGCAGGGGUCAUUUAUUUAAAUAUUGGUAUUUGUGUUGAGCGGCUAGAAAGCGUUGACCUCAGAGUUCUGAGGUCCCGGGUUCGAUCCCGGACACGCCUGUGUGGAGUUUGCAUGUUUCCCCGUGCCUGCGUGGGUUUUCUCCAGGCACUCCGGUUUCCUCCCACAUCCCAAAAACAUGCAACAUUAAUUGGACACUCUAAAUUGCCCUUAGGUGUGAUUGUGAGUGUGGCUGUUUGUCUUGUUCUGCCCUGCAAUUGGCUGGCAACCAGUUCAGGGUGUAUCCCGCUACCUGGUGUACAACUACAGGAAACGUUUGACCUCUGUAAUUGCAAACAAAGGCUACUGUACCAAAUAUAAACAUUGGUUUUCUCAGGUGUUCAAAUACUUAUUUGUAGCUGGAUCACACAAAUAAAUUGUUAAAAAAAAUCAUACAUAGUGAUUUCUGGAUUUUUCUUUUUUGAUUAUCUCUCUCACAGUGGACAUGCACCUACGAUGAAGAUUUCAGACCUCUCCAUGAUUUCUAAGUGGGAGUACUUGCAAUAUAGCAGGAUGUUCCAAUACUUGUUUUUUUUCACUGCACAUGUGUAUAUCCAGUUGUCCAAGACAAGCGGAAUUGAAUUAACAGUACAAUUUCUUAUCUUCUUCUUUGACCAGCAAUAUAGCCAGUCACGUGAUUUCAGUGAUGUCGGUGUUUUGUCCGAUACCGUUAAACAUUUAGAAGGUGAUAAUCAACGAAGGUACGUGGAAAAAUGAGAGACGUUUGGCAUAGACAACCCAUAUUUAAUGCUGCAGUCGAUGUUUUCGGCGAUGAGAAAUUGGACCGUUAAUUCACUUCUUGCUUGUCUUGGA